UGGAGCGUCAACUUUCUCAGUUUUCAUCGUAAAGAGCAGAAAACUUCUUAGUAAUGAACAUUUCCACAAGGGGCUUUUGUUUUCAGAUUGAUUUGCUCAUUGGACAAAGUAUCCUAGGGAAAUGUGCCCCUGCGAAGUUGGUGGUGAUUGUGGUGGUGGAGCUAACGACAUGUGUGCAGAAACUCUUCUGAAUGGGACUUCCCUGAUCCUGUUUUUACCUGAUCUUCAUGCUCAAUAGAAAAAGCCUCAGCUUUGGAAUCAGGGCCGUCCAGGUAGCAUGGCAUGGUACUGGAACACUAUGUCUUCUCUCUGACCUCUCGGAAUAUCUCUGUGAUUCAAUGUGUUGGCCCAUUGGAGGCCCUGGAUAAGACAACUGAGGCUGAAGAUCACACAACCAGUAAAUGGAACAGCCAGAAAUCAAAUGUUAUAUAUUGGCCCUGAAGUGGGGAUAAAGCAGCUAAAAGAAAGUGUACUUUACAUUAAAUUUUAAGGUAUCCAAAAGCAAAUCAAUAAGCCAUACUCUAGUUACAUUAAGAUAUUUUCACAAGUGCUAGGUUAAGUAAUAUAAAAUUACCAUUUUUGUAGGUCAAAAGUAAUGGAAUAUCAUGCUUGUAUAUGGUUUGAUCUAAUAUAUAUCAUUAUCAGGUUCUACUAAUACAGAGUUUUCUGCCUUUACUUAACCAUCACAAUAAACUAAGGACUUCCAAGCUAGUAAGAAUAAUGACACAGAUAAUAAUUAGAAAAGUAUUCAUAACAUUAUCAACAAACACUUCUACCAUUUUUUGAACAACUACUUCUAUGUAUAUUUUCACUGUAGUAAAAAAUCCCUAACAAAAAAUUUAUCAUCUUAAUCAUUUUAAGUGUACAGUUCAGUAGUGCUAAGUAUAUUUACAUUACUGUGAAACAGAUCUCUAGAACAUUUGAUCUUGCAAAUUUGAAACUCUGUACUCCUUAAACAUGAAGAACCCCAUGAGAGACCAUGUGGCUGGUGGUGUCAGAUUAUAGGCUUUUUCAAGAGAAGUCAAUCUGGAAUUUUGUGUAAAAUUUUCCAAGCUUUAAUGUUAGCUUUAAAAUAGCUUUAUCGAGAUAUAAUUCAAAUACCAUAAAUCUAUCCAUUUAAAGUGUACAUUUUAACAGUUUUUAAUCACCCCCAAAGGAGACCUUGUACCAUUAAGCAGUCACUCCUCAUUCCCCCCUCCUCCCAGAUGCUAGUAACCACCAUUCUGUUUCCUGUUGCUAUGAAUUGACUACUUAAGUGCCAGUAGCCUAUCAUUUUUGAGUAUGUAAAUCUGCAAGGUGCAUUACACACUUUAAUCCUAACAAAACUACAAACUAAGUGCUAUUAUUCUUACUUUAUAGUCUAGAAAAUGAAAAAGUUUUAGUAGAUACAAAGUUACAUCUGAAAGUAAUUAAUUGCUACGUAUUUUCAUAUCUGUUAUAUUCAAGUUAGAUAUGA
Pan troglodytes (chimpanzee) is the source of this 1456-nucleotide long non-coding RNA. RefSeq lists it as uncharacterized. NCBI's taxonomy places the organism in Eukaryota, Metazoa, Chordata, Mammalia, Primates, Hominidae. The record is from RefSeq and is a predicted model, not a curated record. The transcript has 3 exons.